GCUCACUUUGGCAGCACAUAUACUAAAAUUAGAAUGAUACAGAGAUUAGCAUGGCCCCUGCUCAAGGACAACAUGUAAAUUCAUGAAGUAUUCCAUAUUUUU
This is a non-coding RNA of Camelus ferus (Wild Bactrian camel), 102 nucleotides long. The record is from Rfam. NCBI's taxonomy places the organism in Eukaryota, Metazoa, Chordata, Mammalia, Artiodactyla, Camelidae.